Molecule: unclassified non-coding RNA, 549 nt
Filed under: Hevea brasiliensis (rubber tree)
Lineage: Eukaryota; Viridiplantae; Streptophyta; Magnoliopsida; Malpighiales; Euphorbiaceae
Source: RNAcentral
GGAUGCCAACAUUCGUCAAUCAACCUGCACAGGGUUCAAGAAUGCAUCAGAAACCAUUAGACUCCUUAUUCAGGAGAAAGCUUUACAUAUUCGACAUUUUUCUGCAUAAUGCAUGCACAUAAAUAUAUGGAAUUAAUAGGUUUCCAUAAUGAGAUUUUCUAAAAAAGAAAAAGAAAAAACCUAAAAUUAUGACCAUACUUGAAGUUCUACGCAGCUAAAAUUUUAGAGCAAUUGGAAGUCAAAUCAAAAGAAUAUUAGAAUAUUAAAAUAAACACAGAUUCCCAUUAAAUGGGAAGAAAUGACGAAGAUCAUCAUUGAAUCCAUAAAAUAUAUGCAACAGUAUGCCACCUAAAUUUCAGGCCCUCAUCCUACUUCUCGCUGACUUCAUGUAAUCAUUCCCACCUAGUCAUCAUAAAUUUGGUUGGCGCUCUUCUAGUUAUAACCUCAUCAGGCCAUGACAUAGUUGUGGACUAGAAUUUCAAGAACUGUUACAAAUUUACAAUUCAAACUUCAAAGCAUACUCAGAAGAAUAACUAGCCUUUCCAGCUA